AUACGUAGGUGGCAAGCGUUGUCCGGAUUUACUGGGUGUAAAGGGCGUGUAGCCGGGAAGGCAAGUCAGAUGUGAAAUCUGGAGGCUCAACCUCCAAACUGCAUUUGAAACUGCUUUUCUUGAGUGUCGGAGAGGUAAUCGGAAUUCCUUGUGUAGCGGUGAAAUGCGUAGAUAUAAGGAAGAACACCAGUGGCGAAGGCGACUUCCUGGACUGUAACUGACACUGAGGCACGAAAGCGUGGGGAGC
RNAcentral lists this ribosomal RNA (247 nucleotides) under uncultured bacterium. Its description in RNAcentral is "partial 16S ribosomal RNA". It matches the Rfam family "Bacterial small subunit ribosomal RNA", at positions 523 to 769 of the family's 1533-position model. The record is from RNAcentral.